RNAcentral lists this ribosomal RNA (641 nucleotides) under uncultured bacterium. RNAcentral's name for it is "bacterial SSU rRNA". It matches the Rfam family "Bacterial small subunit ribosomal RNA", at positions 44 to 715 of the family's 1533-position model. The record is from RNAcentral.
AUGCUUAACACAUGCAAGUCGAACGUGCCUUCGGGCAAGUGGCAGACGGCUGAGUAACGCGUGAGUAACACACCCUUCGGUGGGGUAUAGCUUCGGGAAACUGAGGGUAAUCCCGCAUACGAUCCUUUUCCCUUGGGGGAAGGAUGAAAGCCUUCGGGCGCCGGAGGAGUGGCUCGCGUCCUAUCAGGUAGUUGGUGGGGUAACAGCCCACCAGGCCGAUGACGGGUAGCUGGUCUUAGAGGACGAUCAGCCAGAGGGGGACUGAGACACGGCCCCCACUCCUACGGGAGGCAGCAGCAGGGAAUUUUGGGCAAUGGACGAAAGUCUGACCCAGCGACGUCGCGUGUGGGAUGAAGGCUCUAGGGCUGUAAACCCCUUUUCCGAGGGAGGAGGAAGGACGGUACCUCGGGAAUAAGCUCCGGCUAACUACGUGCCAGCAGCCGCGGUAAUACGUAGGGAGCGAGCGUUACCCGGAAUUACUGGGCGUAAAGAGCACGUAGGCGGUUGGAAAAGUCUUCUGUGAAAGCUCCCGGCUCAACUGGGAGAGGUCAGGGGAUACUAUUCGACUUGAGGGCUGUAGAGGUAAGCGGAAUUCCCGGUGUAGCGGUGAAAUGCGUAGAUAUCGGAAGGAACACCAGUGG